GAUGAACGCUGGCGGCGUGCCUAAUACAUGCAAGUCGAGCGAACGGACGAGAAGCUUGCUUCUCUGAUGUUAGCGGCGGACGGGUGAGUAACACGUGGAUAACCUACCUAUAAGACUGGGAUAACUUCGGGAAACCGGAGCUAAUACCGGAUAAUAUUUUGAACCGCAUGGUUCAAAAGUGAAAGACGGUCUUGCUGUCACUUAUAGAUGGAUCCGCGCUGCAUUAGCUAGUUGGUAAGGUAACGGCUUACCAAGGCAACGAUGCAUAGCCGACCUGAGAGGGUGAUCGGCCACACUGGAACUGAGACACGGUCCAGACUCCUACGGGAGGCAGCAGUAGGGAAUCUUCCGCAAUGGGCGAAAGACUGACGGAGCAACGCCGCGUGAGUGAUGAAGGUCUUCGGAUCGUAAAACUCUGUUAUUAGGGAAGAACAUAUGUGUAAGUAACUGUGCACAUCUUGACGGUACCUAGUCAGAAAGCCACGGCUAACUACGUG
This 497-nucleotide ribosomal RNA is filed under the name uncultured bacterium. RNAcentral's name for it is "partial 16S ribosomal RNA". It matches the Rfam family "Bacterial small subunit ribosomal RNA", at positions 28 to 507 of the family's 1533-position model. The record is from RNAcentral.